AGAAGAUUGGUGCUUGCACUGAUCCGAUCGAGUGGCGGACGGGUGAGUAACGCGUGGGUAACCUGCCUCAUACAGGGGAAUAACAGUUGGAAACGGCUGCUAAAACCGCAUAAGCGCACGGUAUCGCAUGAUACAGUGUGAAAAACUCCGGUGGUAUGAGAUGGACCCGCGUCUGAUUAGCUAGUUGGUGAGGUAACGGCCCACCAAGGCAACGAUCGGUAGCCGGACUGAGAGGAAGGUCCCCACAUUGGAACUGAGACACGGUCCAAACUCC
RNAcentral lists this ribosomal RNA (274 nucleotides) under uncultured Lachnospiraceae bacterium. RNAcentral's name for it is "partial 16S ribosomal RNA". It matches the Rfam family "Bacterial small subunit ribosomal RNA", at positions 68 to 339 of the family's 1533-position model. The record is from RNAcentral. Lineage: Bacteria; Bacillati; Bacillota; Clostridia; Lachnospirales; Lachnospiraceae.